RNAcentral lists this ribosomal RNA (253 nucleotides) under uncultured bacterium. RNAcentral describes it as "partial 16S ribosomal RNA". It matches the Rfam family "Bacterial small subunit ribosomal RNA", at positions 524 to 776 of the family's 1533-position model. The record is from RNAcentral.
UACGUAGGUGGCAAGCGUUGUCCGGAAUUAUUGGGCGUAAAGCGUGCGCAGGCGGUUCGUUGUGUCGGCGGUGAAAGCCCCGGGCUUAACCUGGGAACGGCCGUUGAAACUGGCGAACUGGAGUGUGGCAGAGGGGGGUGGAAUUCCGCGUGUAGCAGUGAAAUGCGUAGAGAUGCGGAGGAACACCGAUGGCGAAGGCAGCCCCCUGGGCUAACACUGACGCUCAGGCACGAAAGCGUGGGGAGCAAACAGG